UGACGUCAAGUCAUCAUGGCCCUUACCGGCCUGGGCUACACACGUGCUACAAUGGUCGGUACAAAGGGUUGCCAAGCCGCGAGGUGGAGCUAAUCCCAUAAAACCGAAUCGUAGUCCGGAUCGCAGUCUGCAACUCGACUGCGUGAAGUCGGAAUCGCUAGUAAUCGUGAAUCAGCAUGCCACGGUGAAUACGUUCCCGGGCCUU
RNAcentral lists this ribosomal RNA (205 nucleotides) under uncultured Pseudomonas sp. RNAcentral's name for it is "partial 16S ribosomal RNA". It matches the Rfam family "Bacterial small subunit ribosomal RNA", at positions 1180 to 1382 of the family's 1533-position model. The record is from RNAcentral. Lineage: Bacteria; Pseudomonadati; Pseudomonadota; Gammaproteobacteria; Pseudomonadales; Pseudomonadaceae.